Molecule: ribosomal RNA, 1174 nt
Filed under: bacterium
Lineage: Bacteria
Description: bacterial SSU rRNA
Rfam family: Bacterial small subunit ribosomal RNA
Source: RNAcentral
GUUGGUGAGGUAAUGGCUCACCAAGGCUAUGACGGGUAGGGGGCGUGAGAGCGCGUUCCCCAACGAUGGGACUGAGACACGGCCCAUACUCCUACGGGAGGCCGCAGUCGAGAAUAUUCCACAAUGGGCGAAAGCCUGAUGGAGCGACGCCGCGUGCGGGAUGAAGGCCUUCGGGUCGUAAACCGCUUUUGCAGGGGAUGAAGUCCGCAAGGAUUGACAGUACCCUGCGAAUAAGGGGGGACAAACUCUGUGCCAGCAGUAGCGGUGAAACAGAGCCCCCGAGCGUUAUCCGGAUUUACUGGGCGUAAAGCGUCCGUAGCCGGUCUGGAAAGUCUCGGGUUAAAUACCAAGGACUCAAUCUUUGGGAUGCCCGAGAAACUGAUAGACUAGAGGGUGUUAGAGGCUGAUGGAACUCUUGGUGGAGGGGUGAAAUCCGUUGAUAUCAAGAGGAACACCAAAGGCGAAAGCAUUCAGCUAGAGCAACCCUGACGGUGAGGGACGAAAGCGUGGGUAGGGAAAAGGAUUAGAUACCCUUGUACUCCACGCCCUAAACGUUGGAUGCUAGCUAUGUGAAGUGUCGACCCUUCACGUGGCGUAGGUAACCCGUUAAGCAUCCCGCCUGGGAAGUACGGUCGCAAGACUAAAACUCAAAGGAAUAGGCGGGGACCCACACAAGCGGUGGAACAUGUGGCUCAAUUCGUCAACAACCGAGGAACCUUACCAGGGUUUGAAACUCAGUCGAAGAGCACCAGAAACGGUGCUCGUCUCACAAGGACGGCUGAGCAGGUGCUGCACGGCUGUCGUCAGCACGUACCUUGAGGCGUUCGCUUCAAUGCGGUAACGUGCGCAACCCCUAUCCUGUGUUUUAUUUGUCACAGGAAACUGCAAGCGACAAGCUUGAGGAAGGUGGGGAUGACGCCAAGUCAGCGUGGCCCUUUGAUAUCCUGGGCGGCACACGUGUUACAAUGGAAUGGACAGCGGGUUGCAAUUCCGUAAGGAGGAGCUAAUCCCUUAAACCAUUUCUCAGUUCGGAUUGAGGUCUGAAACUCGACCUCAUGAAGCCGGAAUCGCUAGUAAUCGCCAAUCAGCCAUGUGGCGAUGAAUAUGUUCCUGGGUCCUGCACUCACAAUAAAAGCGCUCGGCAGCUUAGUAUUCUAUGCGGUUUAAAUCCGCA